RNAcentral lists this ribosomal RNA (781 nucleotides) under Verrucaria pachyderma. Its description in RNAcentral is "mitochondrial SSU rRNA". It matches the Rfam family "Bacterial small subunit ribosomal RNA", at positions 379 to 1201 of the family's 1533-position model. The record is from RNAcentral. Lineage: Eukaryota; Fungi; Ascomycota; Eurotiomycetes; Verrucariales; Verrucariaceae.
ACGGCUGAACCAGCAACUUGGAAGAAUGUAUAACGAAUAAGUCGUAUAAAAUUCUAGAUAGAAAAUUGAUAAUGACUACUAUCUAUCUAUUAGUCUUGACCAAAUUACGUGCCAGCAGUCGCGGCAACACGCAGAAGACAAGUGUUAUUCAUCUUUAAUCGGUAUAAAGGGUACCUAGACAGGAAAUAAAGCCAUAGUAGGGACUAAUUUUCUAGAGUUUUAUGGGAGAAAGUCGAAUAUCUGGAGGAGAGAUAAAAUAUUGUGAUACCAGAGAGACGGGUAACGGCGUAGGCAACUUUCUAUGUAAAAACUGACGUUGAGGGACGAAGCCCUGGGUAACGAGAAGGAUUAGAUACCCCAGUAGUCCAGGGAGACAAUGAUGAGUGCCAUAGGCUAGAUAGAUUAGUUUAUAAAUGAAAGUGCAAGCAUUCCACCUCAAGACUAAAGCGGCAACGCCCAAAUUGAAACCAUUAGACCGUUUCUGAAACCAGUAGUGAAGUAUGUUAUUUAAUUCGAUGAUCCACGAAUAACCUUACCACGUUUUGAAUACAUAGGGGAAAAAAGUAUUGCAGGUGCUUUUAUCGGCGAAUACGCAAUAGUGUUCGUCCUUCCCUUUGCCUGCUUAACUGAUACAAGCGCUGCACGGCUGUCUUUAGUUAAUGUCGUGAGACUUUGGUUAACUCCUUUAAUUAACGAAAACCCUUGUUUUAUUUGUUUAUAUAAAACAGUUCUCCGCUAUAUUGGAUAAGAUAAUAGGGAUUAAGGCAAGUCAUCAUGGCCU